RNAcentral lists this ribosomal RNA (1674 nucleotides) under Acartia steueri. Its description in RNAcentral is "SSU rRNA". It matches the Rfam family "Eukaryotic small subunit ribosomal RNA", at positions 81 to 1699 of the family's 1831-position model. The record is from RNAcentral. Lineage: Eukaryota; Metazoa; Arthropoda; Copepoda; Calanoida; Acartiidae.
GUGAAACCGCGAAUGGCUCAUUAAAUCACACCUAAUCUACCGGAAUGAUACAACGUUACUUGGAUAACUGAGGUAAUUCUUGAGCUAAUACAUGCGAGAAACCUCGACUCACGGAGAGGUGCUUUUAUUAGAUCAAAACCAGACGGCGUUGGCCGUGUCAAAGCGGCCUCGCCGGCAACCUUGGCGAUUCUGAAUAACUUUGGGCUGAUAGCAUUGCCUAGCGCAGGCUACAUUUCCUUCGAAGGUGUGCCCUAUCAACUUUCGACUGUGUCACAGCUGGGCACAGUGGUUUUGACGGGUAACGGGGAAUCAGGGUUCGAUUCCGGAGAGGGAGCAUUAAAAUCGGCUACCACAUCCAAGGAAGGCAGCAGGCACGCAAAUUACCCAAUGGUCGCAGACCGAGGUAGUGACGAAAAAUAACAAUACCGGACUCUUCCGAGGCCCGGUAAUUGGAAUGAGUACACUUUAAAACCGUUCCCGAGGAUCUAUUGGAGGGCAAGUCUGGUGCCAGCAGCCGCGGUAAUUCCAGCUCCAAUAGCGUAUAUUAAUGUUGUUGUGGUUAAAAAGCUCGUAGUUGGAUCUCGGCGGGCAGCCGGUCGGUCCGCAUCGCUGCGGUUACUGAUCCGGUCGUUUUAGCCCGUGUUAUGUUUGCUGGUUUUGCCAGGCCGGUGAUCUUGAUCGGUCGUCGGCCCUGGGUCAGCAGUUUUACUUUGAAAAAAUUAGGGUGCUCAAAGCAGGCUUUUGAAGCUUGAAUAUUCGUGCAUGGAAUAAUAGAAUAGGAGGUCGUUCCUAUUUUGUUGGUUUUCGGGAACCGACUUAAUGAUUAAAAGGGACUGCUCGGGGGCAUUUGUAUUCAGGCGCUAGAGGUGAAAUUCUUGGACCGCCUGAAGACAAACUACUGCGAAAGCAUUUGCCAAGGAUGUUUUCAUUAAUCAAGAACGAAAGUUAGAGGUUCGAAGGCGAUUAGAUACCGCCCUAGUUCUAACCAUAAACGAUGCCAGCCAGCGAUCCGCCGGUGUUUGCUUCUUAACGACCCGGCGGGGAGCUUCCGGGAAACCAAAGCUUGUGGGUUCCAGGGGAAGUAUGGUUGCAAAGCUGAAACUUAAAGUAAUUGACGGAAGGGCACCACCAGGGGUGGAGCCUGUGGCUUAAUUUGACUCAACACGGGAAAUCUCACCAGGCCCGGACACCAGAAGGAUUGACAGAUUGAUAGCUCUUUCUUGAUUUGGUGGGUGGUGGUGCAUGGCCGUUCUUAGUUGGUGGAGUGAUUUGUCUGGUUAAUUCCGAUAACGAACGAGACUCUGUCCUGCUAACUAGGUUCUGUUUUCUCGGUUGCUGUGCGUCGUUUCGGCGGCGCUCGGCUUCCACUUGUGAACAGAAUACUCUUCUUAGAGGGACUGGCGAUUGUUAGUCGCACGAGAUAGAGCAAUAACAGGUCUGUGAUGCCCUUAGAUGUUCUGGGCCGCACACGCGCUACACUGAAUGGAUCAGCUAGUUUGCUCCCUCCCCGAGAGGGGCGGGAAAACUGUUGAACCCCAUUCGUGGUAGGGAUUGGAGCUUGCAAUUGUUCUCCAUGAACCAGGAAUCCCCAGUAGGCGCCAGUCAUAAGCUGGCGUCGAUUAAGUCCCUGCCCUUUGUACACACCGCCCGUCGCUACUACCGAUUGAGUGUUUU